UUUAGGUGCAGCCUCGAGGUGAGUUUACUAGAGGUAGAGCGACUGGUUGGAUGCGGGGGCUUCAUCGCCUACCAAAUCCUGUCAAACUCCGAAUGCUAGUAAAUAUACUCGGGAGUGAGGGCAUGGGUGCUAAGGUCCAUGUCCGAGAGGGAAACAACCCAGACUAUCUGCUAAGGCCCCCAAAUGUAUACUAAGUUGAUCAAACGUGGUCUGAUUGCACUGACAGCUAGGAUGUUGGCUUGGAAGCAGCCAUUCAUUUAAAGAGUGCGUAACAGCUCACUAGUCGAGCGAUCGGGCGUGGAUAAUAAUCGGGCAUUAAGUAUACUGCCGAAGCAAUAGCAUCGAAAGAUGGGUAGGGGAGCAUUCUAGUUGCGUAGAAGCAGUGCUGUAAGGCAUUGUGGAGCGUCUAGAAAAGAAAAUGUAGGAAUA
Molecule: ribosomal RNA, 429 nt
Filed under: uncultured eukaryote
Lineage: Eukaryota
Description: partial Bacterial large subunit ribosomal RNA
Rfam family: Bacterial large subunit ribosomal RNA
Source: RNAcentral